GUAGCUCAGCUUGGUAGAGCGACUUGGUUUGGGACCAAGGGGUCGCAGGUUCGAAUCCUGUCUUCCCGA
This 69-nucleotide transfer RNA is filed under the name Staphylococcus epidermidis NIHLM031. RNAcentral describes it as "tRNA-Pro". It matches the Rfam family "tRNA". From Rfam's summary of the family: Transfer RNA (tRNA) molecules are approximately 80 nucleotides in length. Their secondary structure includes four short double-helical elements and three loops (D, anti-codon, and T loops). Further hydrogen bonds mediate the characteristic L-shaped molecular structure. tRNAs have two regions of fundamental functional importance: the anti-codon, which is responsible for specific mRNA codon recognition, and the 3' end, to which the tRNAs corresponding amino acid is attached (by aminoacyl-tRNA synthetases). tRNAs cope with the degeneracy of the genetic code in two manners: having more than one tRNA (with a specific anti-codon) for a particular amino acid; and 'wobble' base-pairing, i.e. permitting non-standard base-pairing at the 3rd anti-codon position. Lineage: Bacteria; Bacillati; Bacillota; Bacilli; Caryophanales; Staphylococcaceae. The record is from RNAcentral.